Molecule: long non-coding RNA, 2168 nt
Organism: Pomacea canaliculata
Lineage: Eukaryota; Metazoa; Mollusca; Gastropoda; Architaenioglossa; Ampullariidae
Exons: 3
Source: RefSeq, a predicted model, not a curated record
AAUUAGUAUCGUAAUUGUCUUUCUUUUUGGCGUGUUCGUUCUUGUGUGUCAUUCUUAAUUUUUAUGUUAGCCGUUCCGAAAACGAUGUUUUAGAACGGAAAUACUAACGCUUGCACAAGUAUAGUCAAGAGACUAUAGCUCAUAUAUUAUUUGUUUGUUUUCCUGUCCCUCGUAUGCUGUUCAUGUUUCGUUCUUGUUCUUCAGCGCUAAGAGCAUACUCCUUAGGAGUGUGAGUAUGAGCUUUACAAAUUUUGCAUUUAUCAUUAUCUUAUUAUUAUUAUUUCACAGAAUUCGCUGAAGGACGGUCAGAAACUUCCCUAGGCUGGGUUGGGUAUCAGUGAAUAUACUAACACUUCUAGAGCCCAAAGCUUGCCCCGAAAAAGCGCGAUGGUCGACUUCAACCUUAACGCUGUGUAAUUUUUUAUUCAUACACCUGCCUAAUCCUGGGGUCACAAGGUGCACGGCAGGUGUGACUAUAAAGGUGGUGUUUACGAAAACUUCGUGCCACGUAGUAAGUUAGGAGUUUUUGCAAGAGAGAGAGAGAGAGGGGGGGGGAGAGAAAACGACAAAGAUCUCAGCGCAGCCGUUUAAAAUUAAGAUGGAAAGCAUGUUGUUGGAAACCAGUUUGUAUGAUGGCAAAUGACGAAGCAGUUUAUGCUUAUUUCUUUCCUUCCUUCAUUUUUCCCUCUUAUUUUCAUUAUUGUAAUGAUAGUGUGUGUGUGUGUGUGUGUGUGUGCGCGCGAGCGCGCGUGUCAGCGCACGUACUGUUGGUCGUAUUAUAUAUCACAUUUUGUCAUUUUCUUUUGCAUAGGCGACGAGGUUAGAUCCGAGCUAAGGUCCAACAUCCAAGGAGUAGGUUCAUCGAUCGAUGCCAACAUGAUUAUUUGAUCUUCACCAGUCCGGAGCUGUCUGGGUCUGGCUUUACUGGUUUUCCAUGUUUUCGCUGUCUCUGUGCAACAAAAUGCGCAGAAAUUAUAAACUGAAUGAGUCCCUUUUGUUUGGGACAUUUUUUCAGUCUUCGAAAGAUACGGCAUAUAUUUUAGAGUGACACUUUGCAAGAAAGUUUGAACAAAUAGAUGUUUCAUCUGUGGUUGCCAUUAUCGCAAAGCUUUCCGACCUCACAAGAGGGACCUUUUCAGUCAUCAAGUGACAGAAACAGCCGGGUGGUCUGAUUGCCUACCUUUUAUUUGCUUUCUACAAGUGGAGUCAUAGUGCUUAGUCAUUAAACCUGCUUGGAAUAAAAGCUGAAGCUGUUUUUAUACGAUCAGCAACAGUUUGUGUUCCUCAUUGUGUCAUGUCGACGACCGAUGUUUCUAAGCUGUCUGAGUAGUUUCAUAGCAAGGAUUUCCAGUUUCUUAGCAACCGUAAAAAAAUACCUUGCUAUUUGACAAUUAAGCAUGAUUACAGACUCUGUAAGUGUAAAGCCUACUGGAUGCAUUCGAUGCCCACCAUGUAAGCCUACAGCCGAUUGGAGGCCGGUGCAACUUGCUCCCUUUGCGUUACAGGGGUCUGACACUAGUCUCUUACCCACUUGCUUCCCUUUAAAGUACUUAUGUCAAUGCUUUCCAUUUUCGUUGACAUAAAUCACUUGAAAGAGAAAACAUUCAAUAACAGAUAUUUCUCUUUGCGUGGAAAAAAAACACAAUGCCUGCUCAAUCUUCUGACCCUUAUUAACUUUAACUUUAAAAUUUAUCACACAUGCCAAAGAUUGCUUCUCCCCACUAUUGGAAACAUCCGAAAUCGCCUUAAAGUGUAUAAAAUGCUUCACUGAGGAGAAAAAACCCAGACGUUAUUGAAAAGUUAAUUCCUGCUAGGCCCCUAGAUCUUACAGGUAUUAACUUGACAAAUCAAGUCUUGCCCGUAAACAAUAAUGUGUAAAUGUAAAAAAAAAUGCAAGCUGAUUCCCUUCUCGUACUACGCUGUUGUAGCAACCUGUUUACAAACUGAGACAGUGGGGUUCCAGUUGUUUACCGAGUGUUUAGGAGAACCGUUGCAGUUAAAACGAAUGUGUUGCGGUAGUUUUAUCGUUGUUGUGUGAUACCACAAGAACAAUAACAACGUUCACAUUGACUUCUCAAUCCUUACAGAAAGUGGAAAGGUCAACAGAAAAAGAAUCAAUGAGCAGUUUCAUUUAUCACAGCGGUUGUAACUCUUCGAUUAUGAAUUCA